Molecule: ribosomal RNA, 253 nt
Filed under: uncultured bacterium
Lineage: Bacteria
Description: partial 16S ribosomal RNA
Rfam family: Bacterial small subunit ribosomal RNA
Source: RNAcentral
UACGUAGGGUGCAAGCGUUGUCCGGAAUUAUUGGGCGUAAAGAGCUCGUAGGCGGUUUGUCGCGUCUGCUGUGAAAACGCGAGGCUCAACCUCGCGCCUGCAGUGGGUACGGGCAGACUAGAGUGCGGUAGGGGAGAUUGGAAUUCCUGGUGUAGCGGUGGAAUGCGCAGAUAUCAGGAGGAACACCGAUGGCGAAGGCAGAUCUCUGGGCCGAUACUGACGCUGAGGAGCGAAAGCGUGGGGAGCGAACAGG